This is an RNA transcript of Neltuma alba, 1969 nucleotides long. RefSeq lists it as uncharacterized. The transcript has 5 exons. The record is from RefSeq and is a predicted model, not a curated record. NCBI's taxonomy places the organism in Eukaryota, Viridiplantae, Streptophyta, Magnoliopsida, Fabales, Fabaceae.
CGCACCACCCCCAGCUCGGGGUUCGCCUCUCUACUCUCUCAUUUUGUUCUGCACGUUGCUCGCCUCUCUACUGUCUCCGCCUCCUCCUGCAGGCGUUGUCGCUGCGGGUCUUCUCAGUCCAGAUGAGAUUGGUGACGCAUAGAUUUUCAUUGGUUCACCACGAAGCAUUUCCCUCCUCAUUCUGCCUAGCAUUCUCUUUCUCCUCCUUUAUACACCCCACCACUCUCCCUAAACAGGUUCUGAAGGAUAACAAUCUUGAUGUAAAUGAAUGAACACUUGCAGAUGCACAAGGAAUUGCGGGAACUUAUCAUUCUUUAUGGAACUUGUCUCUUCCUUCUCUGUUCUUCGUCUUCCACAAUAUAAACACAAAAAUAGUUGUUAUAUUAUCGUACCUUCUGUGUGUCUGGGUAAAAGGAGAAACUACAGUACUGAAAUUUCAUUAGUGGAUUGUGGAGAAUUUACUACGAACUCCUGCAUUUCCAAUAAUCCCUCCAGAGGUUCAAGCUCAGCUGAUGAUUUGUUGAGAUAUAAAUCUGAAACAUAUCCAUUUCUUCAAGCAAGCCGUUUUCAGCACUGGUUCAAAAACUGGCAAAAGCUUAGAAAGAACAAACUGACAGCUAGCACUUUUCCUGCUGCUAUUGGAUUUUGGCCACGACGAAGGGUCCAACUUUGGUUAGAGAAGCUAGGUGCAAUUGAACCAUUCUCUGGAAACCUUGCUACCUGUUGGAGCAAUAUUAAAGAGGAGGAGGCACUUGAACGAUAUAAACUGAUAACUGGAAAUACUGUCGUAUUUCCUGAAUUUCAAGUCUAUAAUGCAAACCCAGAUGAUGACUGGCUAGCUGCUUCACCAGAUGGUGUAGUUGACAGGAUGCUGUAUGAGUUGCCUUCUCAUGGGGUGCUGGAGAUAAAGUGCCCAUUUUUUGAUGGGGAUAUGAGUAAAGCUUCCCCUUGGUCACAAAUUCCACUGUAUUAUAUUCCCCAAGCUCAGGGUUUGAUGGAAAUUCUAGGGAAGGAUUGGAUGGACUUUUAUGUUUGGACUCCAAAGGGAAGUAGUCUGUUUAGGCUAUAUCAUGAUGCGGAGUAUUGGGAUGUAAUGAAAAUGGCACUAUCUGAUUUCUGGUGGAAGCAUGUACAGCCGGCAAAAGAACUGUAUGAUAAUAACGUUAUAGCAAAUCCACUUUCUGAACUAAGUUCACUGAAACCAGCUCCUAGGCAUGAAUUAUGUGGUUAUUUAGUUUAUGAAAGCAAACGCAUUGCUGAUAAUUCCAAGCUAUUGAUGCGGGAAAUUCAUGGGAAACUGAUCAGUUGAUGUCUUUUGCUUUUGGAGAGAAAUAAUGAUUGAAGAAAAUAACCCUGCUAGAGAGUGGUGAUGCUUGAUGAUAGGGCCAUCUUUGACCGGAGACACUAAUUGACAGCUCCAACGUCAGAUAAGAUCAACAUUAGAAGAAAUAUUUGAGGUUAUAGUGAGAUAAGACCAAGAGGGGUUCAGCUAUUGAACUCUUUUCUACCAUGCAUGCUCUCUCCUUGCAUUCAUCAGUGCAAAGGAUCUGCAGGCCAACGGCUUUUAAGAACAACAGAAUUAUCACAUACUUGAAGGGAGUUUAUCUCUGUAGUAAGUUUUACAUGUUUCAUACUUAGAAGUGCUGCCUUCUGAUGCAGUUGUCAUUCCCAUUUCUUGUGUGUUUUAGUUCUUGUUCUUGAGUUUUAUUGCAUUUCAAAUGCGUUUGUAUAAUUUUUGCACUUUUCGCUCCAUCUUAAAACAGUUUCAAAUGGCUUUUGGGGUUUUGAGGUGUUUGAAACUGGUAAACUAAGGAAACAUACUAGCCAAUGUGUAUACCCAUUUUGGCAUUUCUUGUAAUGCUUUGGCAAAAGAAAUAUUAGAAAAAUUAACUACACAAAGCAAGUGUAUUGGUCCUUAUGGAUACAACUACAGAAAGCAACGAUUAUAAAGUUAUUAAAUUUAUUUCCA